This 469-nucleotide ribosomal RNA is filed under the name uncultured bacterium. RNAcentral describes it as "partial 16S ribosomal RNA". It matches the Rfam family "Bacterial small subunit ribosomal RNA", at positions 28 to 508 of the family's 1533-position model. The record is from RNAcentral.
GACGAACGCUGGCGGCGUGCUUAACACAUGCAAGUCGAACGGAAAGGCCCUGCUUUUGUGGGGUGCUCGAGUGGCGAACGGGUGAGUAACACGUGAGUAACCUGCCCUUGACUUUGGGAUAACUUCAGGAAACUGGGGCUAAUACCGGAUAGGAGCUCCUGCUGCAUGGUGGGGGUUGGAAAGUUUCGGCGGUUGGGGAUGGACUCGCGGCUUAUCAGCUUGUUGGUGGGGUAGUGGCUUACCAAGGCUUUGACGGGUAGCCGGCCUGAGAGGGUGACCGGCCACAUUGGGACUGAGAUACGGCCCAGACUCCUACGGGAGGCAGCAGUGGGGAAUAUUGCACAAUGGGCGGAAGGCUGAUGCAGCAACGCCGCGUGCGGGAUGACGGUCUUCGGGUUGUAAACCGCUUUCGCCUGUGACGAAGCGUGAGUGACGGUAAUGGGUAAAGAAGCACCGGGUAACUAAGUGC